RNAcentral lists this ribosomal RNA (467 nucleotides) under uncultured bacterium. Its description in RNAcentral is "partial 16S ribosomal RNA". It matches the Rfam family "Bacterial small subunit ribosomal RNA", at positions 28 to 506 of the family's 1533-position model. The record is from RNAcentral.
GACGAACGCUGGCGGCGUGCUUAACACAUGCAAGUCGAACGGAAAGGCCCUGCUUUUGUGGGGUGCUCGAGUGGCGAACGGGUGAGUAACACGUGAGUAACCUGCCCUUGACUUUGGGAUAACUUCAGGAAACUGGGGCUAAUACCGGAUAGGAGCUCCUGCUGCAUGGUGGGGGUUGGAAAGUUUCGGCGGUUGGGGAUGGACUCGCGGCUUAUCAGCUUGUUGGUGGGGUAGUGGCUUACCAAGGCUUUGACGGGUAGCCGGCCUGAGAGGGUGACCGGCCACAUUGGGACUGAGGUACGGCCCAGACUCAUACGGGAGGCAGCAGUGGGGAAUAGUGCACAACGGGCGGAAGCCGGAUGCAGCAACGCCGCGUGCGGGAUGACGGCCUUCGGGUUGUAAACCGCUUUCGCCUGUGACGAAGCGUGAGUGACGGUAAUGGGUAAAGAAGCACCGGCUAACUACGU